AUCCGUCGCUUCACUCAAACGGGGUACUGACACUGACCGAAGAACACUGUCCACGAAAACGGACGCGUCUCCAUUAAUCACCGUGAAGAUUAUCCGUAUCGGUCGGGACCUUGAGCGAGCUCUGCACACUUGACCUGUGUUGAUUUGUUGUGGUCGCGAUAAAAGUGCAAGAUGCCAGAUAACAAGGGAGGCAGUGAGACGCUAAACUUGGUGAUUACAUAUUCGAUAUUAAUAUUCUUUCUCUUCGUUUUAUGGUUAAUGUACACCAGCUUCACGUAACCAAAAAGACAAGAACAACAUCCACCAUGCCUUUUCUAGCCCUGUAGAGUUUUUGUGCAGCUGAAGAAUGGGUUGAAUGCCUCAACAAACUGGACAUGUGAAAACGAACUAAUAUUUUAUUAAGUAAAGCAAAUUGGCAAUAUGUGUAUAUACAAAAUUAUUUUGAUGUAUGAUGUAACGUGUGGUGCGCAAGAUUUUUUGUCAAAUUAUAAAGACACUUAAAAUAAAGACAACAAAUGUAGACAUAAAGUGAAGUCAUACGUAUCUACAUAAUUGAUUGAUCGAUUAAUUAAUUCAUUGGGAUUUCAACAGAUUCAAGCAUAAAUUAAAUCUUAUUUAAAUGGAAAUGGAAAUUUUCUAAUUUCGUAUAAGCUGGAUUCAGCAUUUGUUACAAUCAGGUUUUUUCCACAAGUACGAGUAUUGAAUCAAUAUUAUGCAUACUUGGUUUUGGAAAGCCUUUUUCCGACAAAACAAAUCUCACGGAGAUAAUUUUCAUCAUUUUUCCAAGUAUACAUUUGCAUACAUAUGUAUGUAUACGAUAUUUAAUGUUCUCCAAUAGUAUGCACUUCUGGAAAUCUUGUUGUCGCUCAAACUGACGAAUUUUUUUGCAACAAUAUUAAAUCAAAAGGUAUGUACAACUGUUUGUGUUUGGUUGCAUUUACAUCAAAACAUUUGGUCAAAAACUUCCAUUCAUAAUUUUUACGGUGCUCAAGUUAUCAGUAUGUGUCUGUUAAAUACAUGCUUGCGCUGUCCUAUUUCACACAUGUAUUUAUCCAGUAUUGCAAAUAAUCCUGCAUACGAAUCACUUGAUCCUUCGUAAGUAAGUUAACAUUGGAUUUUACAUAAGAGUAUUUUGUUAAAAUCUUUUCAGAUAAAGCAAGUACUUUAUUGAAGUAGCAUGGGAAUAAAGCUGCAAAACGUCACCACCGUGAAGUUAAUCGUCUUGCUAAUUAUCUUAGGAGCAGCCACAAAAAUAACGACGGGAUGCUCAAGUUCUGGUUGGGAUGGUUGCUCAGGACCCUGUGUUCAACCUGGAGAACAUUGUGCUAAUUUUGGUUACGAACCAUAUAAUCGUUGUCGUUGUGUCCUUAACGUCACUGUGAGUGGAUGAAAAUAAAAAUAUUCAAGACAUUAAGGUUUUCCUUAUUUAAUUGAAAUUGUGACUUUUAAUAAAACGAAACGAUUGUUCGUCCAGCCUGAGAAUCUUUA
Long non-coding RNA from Folsomia candida, 1488 nucleotides. RefSeq lists it as uncharacterized. NCBI's taxonomy places the organism in Eukaryota, Metazoa, Arthropoda, Collembola, Entomobryomorpha, Isotomidae. The record is from RefSeq and is a predicted model, not a curated record. The transcript has 4 exons.